This 217-nucleotide small RNA is filed under the name Arabidopsis thaliana (thale cress). RNAcentral describes it as "ATSL264880". The record is from RNAcentral. Lineage: Eukaryota; Viridiplantae; Streptophyta; Magnoliopsida; Brassicales; Brassicaceae.
AUUAAGCAUAGUGAAUUUCGCGGAACACCACCGGUUACUUUGUAUUAGUGAUUUGUGUUCUAGAAUGGUUCGAUAAUAAUCCUAAUUUACUGCUAGAUCUACUAUUAUGAUAUUUCCUGAGAAUUUUCCUAAACCCGACGUCUUAAUCAUCUGAAUCUACAAUCUCUUUUAUUUCUUGUCUUGUCUUUUACUUUUAUUACAUUCUCUGUUUAGCUUU